RNAcentral lists this ribosomal RNA (409 nucleotides) under uncultured bacterium. RNAcentral describes it as "bacterial SSU rRNA". It matches the Rfam family "Bacterial small subunit ribosomal RNA", at positions 28 to 422 of the family's 1533-position model. The record is from RNAcentral.
GACGAACGCUGGCGGCGUGCCUAAUACAUGCAAGUCGAGCGGAGUAAAAAGCGUGCUUGCACGGUUUUUAUUUAGCGGCGAACGGGUGAGUAACACGUAGGUAACCUGGCCAUAAGACAGGGAUAACGCACGGAAACGUGAGCUAAAACCAGAUAGGCAUUUUCCACGCAUGAGGGAGAUGAGAAAAGGCGGAGCAAUCUGCCGCUCAUGGAUGGACCUGCGUCGCAUUAGCUAGUUGGAGUGGUAAAAGGCACACCAAGGCGACGAUGCGUAGCCGACCUGAGAGGGUGAGCGGCCACACUGGGACUGAGACACGGCCCAGACUCCUACGGGAGCAGCAGUAGGGAAUCUUCCGCAAUGGACGAAAGUCUGACGGAGCAACGCCGCGUGAGUGAAGAAGGUUUUCGGA